AAACUUUGAUAACAAAAGAAGUGUUUUAAGGAGAUAUGAACUGAAAUGCUACACACAUAAGAAGAGGAAAUAACUUUUAUUCAAGGUGUAAAAAGUCACAGAUCACAGGUACUGGACUUAUGUGUUGGAGAACAGACCACUACUCAAAGCAGCUAACUAGGUGGCAGGAACUGUACGGUGGUUCUAACGUUUUCUUCCAAGACGAGACGGGGUUGUCCCCA
This is a long non-coding RNA of Ylistrum balloti, 221 nucleotides long. RefSeq lists it as uncharacterized. NCBI's taxonomy places the organism in Eukaryota, Metazoa, Mollusca, Bivalvia, Pectinida, Pectinidae. The record is from RefSeq and is a predicted model, not a curated record. The transcript is spliced from 3 exons.